GGGUUGUGAGGUUAAGCGACUAAGCGUACACGGUGGAUGCCCUGGCAGUCAGAGGCGAUGAAGGACGUGCUAAUCUGCGAUAAGCGUCGGUGAGGUGAUAUGAACCGUUAUAACCGGCGAUUUCCGAAUGGGGAAACCCAGUGUGUUUCGACACACUAUCAUUAACUGAAUCCAUAGGUUAAUGAGGCGAACCGGGGGAACUGAAACAUCUAAGUACCCCGAGGAAAAGAAAUCAACCGAGAUUCCCCCAGUAGCGGCGAGCGAACGGGGAGCAGCCCAGAGCCUGAAUCAGUGUGUGUGUUAGUGGAAGCGUCUGGAAAGGCGCGCGAUACAGGGUGACAGCCCCGUACACAAAAAUGCACAUGCUGUGAGCUCGAUGAGUAGGGCGGGACACGUGGUAUCCUGUCUGAAUAUGGGGGGACCAUCCUCCAAGGCUAAAUACUCCUGACUGACCGAUAGUGAACCAGUACCGUGAGGGAAAGGCGAAAAGAACCCCGGCGAGGGGAGUGAAAAAGAACCUGAAACCGUGUACGUACAAGC
Molecule: ribosomal RNA, 540 nt
Filed under: Bifidobacterium longum
Lineage: Bacteria; Bacillati; Actinomycetota; Actinomycetes; Bifidobacteriales; Bifidobacteriaceae
Description: partial 23S ribosomal RNA
Rfam family: Bacterial large subunit ribosomal RNA
Source: RNAcentral